Malurus melanocephalus (red-backed fairy wren) is the source of this 2119-nucleotide long non-coding RNA. RefSeq lists it as uncharacterized. The transcript has 4 exons. Lineage: Eukaryota; Metazoa; Chordata; Aves; Passeriformes; Maluridae. The record is from RefSeq and is a predicted model, not a curated record.
UGCACUAUAGUUUCAGGGAUUUAUUCACCCCAGCUGAAUUCCACCUUCUAUUUUGUCCCAUAACUGCUUUUCUCCUAUUUCAAUCCAUAACUCAAUAACUCCUGGUCUAAUUUAUCAAAGCAGGUUGUAACUAGUGAAAUAUAAACAGUUGAAACUUCUGUAGGUACUGUAUUAUCUUCAUAUCUGAAUAGUUUUAUGGCAAAAGUUUCUUCUACGCUCAUAUCUCAUGCUGCAUUGCUGAGUCCAAACAUGCUAAGUCAGGCUGUAGGGGGAUACUUUGUAUGUUUACACCUUGCUUUGAUCACCUGAUCUUUGUCAGUUGGGGUAUGAGGGAAUCUAAGAACCUUUAGUAGCCAAUGUCAAGACCACAUGUUUGAUACGUUUUCCCUGCAAAAGGAAAACAUAUUUUAGGGUGUGUUUAUGUAGGCUUUUUUGACCUUUAAUUCAUUUCCAGUGGUUCCAUGUCUCACAAAGAUAUAAAAGGUUCAAAGGUAACUUUCUAAAACCUUCUGUACUUAUUGUGAACCUGUGUAACGCUGUUGCUACUUCUAGCAUGUCACUCUAGUUUAAAUUACUUCCCGAAAUCCUUAGUCAUUUAUGGGUAAAGAAUAGGUUAUGAUAAUAUUAGAUGUAUUUGUUCUGAUCUCUACUUGGAGUCAGCUUAUGUUUCUAAGAAAUGCAUUUGCCGAAAGACUGCUUUUAUAGAAGUGUUUUUAUUUUGUAUUUGUAAAGCCCUGUCCUAUUAGAUUACUUUACACUGGUUAAAAACAAGUAUAUUUUAUUUUUCUAGUGAACAUGAAGUAUAACAUAAGACUUUGCAUGGAUUUCUAGGUCAAGCUGUAUGGUAUUGAAAUCCUAGAUGAUGACUGAACCUUGRAAAGAAGCUGAGAAGUGGCAAAUACAGUGCAACUAACAUGAGUUAUCAAAGCAAAACAUAAAUUAGAUAUUUCUGUAUACAAUAAGAAAAACAAGCGAGUACUAACACCUUUUUACACGGGAACGUGGAUACAGAGUAAUUGUAUAAUUGAAAAGAACUGUCAUCACCAUUUUCUUUCAGAAAUAAUCCAGUCAAAGGAGCUUAUGUGAGCCUGUCAGCAGUCCCAACAGCCUCCUGUAGGCACUGUUUAACAGAAAUACUGAAGAUUUAUCCCUGUGCAAGACAUCCAAAAGCAUGUGCAAUUUAAAAAUAAUCAAACAUUUUAUCACCAUAAUGAAUUGUACAAAUACAAGUGAAGAACCGCUUAGAGACUGCAAUUUUACAGAUUUAGAUGUAAAAGCACAAGCUAGCAGCAACAUAUCAUUGUAACAAGAAGCACCAUAAAGAAAGAUGGCAAUGGAAAAAAUCAGUCUUCACUACGUGAAGUAGUUUGUUUUGUUCUCAGGUGGAGUUCUCUAUGUCAUGAAAGAGAUGUAUUAUUUGGAAAGAGACCAUUGAGCAACAUAAAGAUUACAGUUUCUACAAUCUGAUUAAAAAUAUUUCCUUCAUGUGAGGAAAGUUUUAAAAUAUUUCAAAUGUAUCAAAGGCUACUAAAAAGAGGAAGAAAAAGAACUUCUGAGUUUGUGCUACUUAGGAAAAGAAUGAGACAGUUUCACUUGCACCUUGGAAUGCAAGAUUUAAAUUGGACUGAAGUGAUACAAUUUUCUCAAAAAAAUCAAGUAGUACUUUCCUAUUAAAAAAAAAAUAAAACAAACUGAAGUAUUUGCAUAGACUGAAAAUCAUUUACAAGGUGCUUUUAAGUCUGGUUUAUCCCACAUAUUUCAGUGGUAAGCAACACUUAAUUUUCAAUUAAAAAUUGAUUGUGAUGAUGUGUGAAGCUAUGGCCCUUUCUUCAUUAGUCUAAUUUUCUUUGGUAUCCCUAAUACACUCUCUAAAGAUCUGAAGAAUUCUGUUUCAGAUUUACUUCACCGUUAAUAGUUUAGCAUAUUCUAUUUACUUUUUCCCUUUGCUUCAGCCAAUAGUGGUAAGACCAACAAACAUUACCUGAGUUUUAACCACCUCAGAAGUAUGAUUUUACUAUGCAUUACAUGUCGAUUGAGGAAAAAAUGUUCAGUAGCAACUAGAAUAAAACAUUAGGAUAAGGAUUUAGAAUAUAAAAUUUAGAAAACUGAAGAGUCAUGU